AUUGAACGCUGGCGGCAGGCCUAACACAUGCAAGUCGAGCGGAUGAAGGGAGCUUGCUCCUGGAUUCAGCGGCGGACGGGUGAGUAAUGCCUAGGAAUCUGCCUGGUAGUGGGGGAUAACGUCCGGAAACGGGCGCUAAUACCGCAUACGUCCUGAGGGAGAAAGUGGGGGAUCUUCGGACCUCACGCUAUCAGAUGAGCCUAGGUCGGAUUAGCUAGUUGGUGGGGUAAAGGCCUACCAAGGCGACGAUCCGUAACUGGUCUGAGAGGAUGAUCAGUCACACUGGAACUGAGACACGGUCCAGACUCCUACGGGAGGCAGCAGUGGGGAAUAUUGGACAAAGGGCGAAAGCCUGAUCCAGCCAUGCCGCGUGUGUGUAGAAGGUCUUCGGAUUGUAAAGCACUUUAAGUUGGGAGGAAGGGCAGUAAGUUAAUACCUUGCUGUUUUGACGUUACCAACAGAAUAAGCACCGGCUAACUUCGUG
This 484-nucleotide ribosomal RNA is filed under the name uncultured bacterium. RNAcentral describes it as "partial 16S ribosomal RNA". It matches the Rfam family "Bacterial small subunit ribosomal RNA", at positions 30 to 507 of the family's 1533-position model. The record is from RNAcentral.